AGAUUAAGUUAUUAAGGGCGCACUGUGGAUGCCUUGGCACUAGAAGCCGAUGAAGGACGUUACUAACGACGAUAUGCUUUGGGGAGCUGUAAGUAAGCUUUGAUCCAGAGAUUUCCGAAUGGGGAAACCCAGCAUGAGUUAUGUCAUGUUAUCGAUAUGUGAAUACAUAGCAUAUCAGAAGGCACACCCGGAGAACUGAAACAUCUUAGUACCCGGAGGAAGAGAAAGAAAAUUCGAUUCCCUUAGUAGCGGCGAGCGAAACGGGAAGAGCCCAAACCAACAAGCUUGCUUGUUGGGGUUGUAGGACACUCUAUACGGAGUUACAAAGGACGACAUUAGACGAAUCAUCUGGAAAGAUGAAUCAAAGAAGGUAAUAAUCCUGUAGUCGAAAAUGUUGUCUCUCUUGAGUGGAUCCUGAGUACGACGGAGCACGUGAAAUUCCGUCGGAAUCUGGGAGGACCAUCUCCUAAGGCUAAAUACUCUCUAGUGACCGAUAGUGAACCAGUACCGUGAGGGAAAGGUGAAAAGCACCCCGGAAGGGGAGUGAAAUAGAACCUGAAACCGUGUGCUUACAAGUAGUCAGAGCCCGUUAAUGGGUGAUGGCGUGCCUUUUGUAGAAUGAACCGGCGAGUUACGAUUUGAUGCAAGGUUAAGCAGUAAAUGUGGAGCCGUAGCGAAAGCGAGUCUGAAUAGGGCGUUUAGUAUUUGGUCGUAGACCCGAAACCAGGUGAUCUACCCUUGGUCAGGUUGAAGUUCAGGUAACACUGAAUGGAGGACCGAACCGACUUACGUUGAAAAGUGAGCGGAUGAACUGAGGGUAGCGGAGAAAUUCCAAUCGAACCUGGAGAUAGCUGGUUCUCUCCGAAAUAGCUUUAGGGCUAGCCUCAAGUGAUGAUUAUUGGAGGUAGAGCACUGUUUGGACGAGGGGCCCCUCUCGGGUUACCGAAUUCAGACAAACUCCGAAUGCCAAUUAAUUUAACUUGGGAGUCAGAACAUGGGUGAUAAGGUCCGUGUUCGAAAGGGAAACAGCCCAGACCACCAGCUAAGGUCCCAAAAUAUAUGUUAAGUGGAAAAGGAUGUGGCGUUGCCCAGACAACUAGGAUGUUGGCUUAGAAGCAGCCAUCAUUUAAAGAGUGCGUAAUAGCUCACUAGUCGAGUGACACUGCGCCGAAAAUGUACCGGGGCUAAACAUAUUACCGAAGCUGUGGAUUGUCCUUUGGACAAUGGUAGGAGAGCGUUCUAAGGGCGUUGAAGCAUGAUCGUAAGGACAUGUGGAGCGCUUAGAAGUGAGAAUGCCGGUGUGAGUAGCGAAAGACGGGUGAGAAUCCCGUCCACCGAUUGACUAAGGUUUCCAGAGGAAGGCUCGUCCGCUCUGGGUUAGUCGGGUCCUAAGCUGAGGCCGACAGGCGUAGGCGAUGGAUAACAGGUUGAUAUUCCUGUACCACCUAUAAUCGUUUUAAUCGAUGGGGGGACGCAGUAGGAUAGGCGAAGCGUGCGAUUGGAUUGCACGUCUAAGCAGUAAGGCUGAGUAUUAGGCAAAUCCGGUACUCGUUAAGGCUGAGCUGUGAUGGGGAGAAGACAUUGUGUCUUCGAGUCGUUGAUUUCACACUGCCGAGAAAAGCCUCUAGAUAGAAAAUAGGUGCCCGUACCGCAAACCGACACAGGUAGUCAAGAUGAGAAUUCUAAGGUGAGCGAGCGAACUCUCGUUAAGGAACUCGGCAAAAUGACCCCGUAACUUCGGGAGAAGGGGUGCUCUUUAGGGUUAACGCCCAGAAGAGCCGCAGUGAAUAGGCCCAAGCGACUGUUUAUCAAAAACACAGGUCUCUGCUAAACCGUAAGGUGAUGUAUAGGGGCUGACGCCUGCCCGGUGCUGGAAGGUUAAGAGGAGUGGUUAGCUUCUGCGAAGCUACGAAUCGAAGCCCCAGUAAACGGCGGCCGUAACUAUAACGGUCCUAAGGUAGCGAAAUUCCUUGUCGGGUAAGUUCCGACCCGCACGAAAGGCGUAACGAUUUGGGCACUGUCUCAACGAGAGACUCGGUGAAAUCAUAGUACCUGUGAAGAUGCAGGUUACCCGCGACAGGACGGAAAGACCCCGUGGAGCUUUACUGUAGCCUGAUAUUGAAAUUCGGCACAGCUUGUACAGGAUAGGUAGGAGCCUUUGAAACGUGAGCGCUAGCUUACGUGGAGGCGCUGGUGGGAUACUACCCUAGCUGUGUUGGCUUUCUAACCCGCACCACUUAUCGUGGUGGGAGACAGUGUCAGGCGGGCAGUUUGACUGGGGCGGUCGCCUCCUAAAAGGUAACGGAGGCGCUCAAAGGUUCCCUCAGAAUGGUUGGAAAUCAUUCAUAGAGUGUAAAGGCAUAAGGGAGCUUGACUGCGAGACCUACAAGUCGAGCAGGGUCGAAAGACGGACUUAGUGAUCCGGUGGUUCCGCAUGGAAGGGCCAUCGCUCAACGGAUAAAAGCUACCCCGGGGAUAACAGGCUUAUCUCCCCCAAGAGUUCACAUCGACGGGGAGGUUUGGCACCUCGAUGUCGGCUCAUCGCAUCCUGGGGCUGUAGUCGGUCCCAAGGGUUGGGCUGUUCGCCCAUUAAAGCGGUACGCGAGCUGGGUUCAGAACGUCGUGAGACAGUUCGGUCCCUAUCCGUCGUGGGCGUAGGAAAUUUGAGAGGAGCUGUCCUUAGUACGAGAGGACCGGGAUGGACAUACCUCUGGUGUACCAGUUGUCGUGCCAACGGCAUAGCUGGGUAGCUAUGUGUGGACGGGAUAAGUGCUGAAAGCAUCUAAGCAUGAAGCCCCCCUCAAGAUGAGAUUUCCCAACUUCGGUUAUAAGAUCCCUCAAAGAUGAUGAGGUUAAUAGGUUCGAGGUGGAAGCAUGGUGACAUGUGGAGCUGACGAAUACUAAUCGAUCGAAGACUUAAUCAAAUU
RNAcentral lists this ribosomal RNA (2927 nucleotides) under Staphylococcus aureus. RNAcentral's name for it is "bacterial LSU rRNA". It matches the Rfam family "Bacterial large subunit ribosomal RNA". The record is from RNAcentral. Lineage: Bacteria; Bacillati; Bacillota; Bacilli; Caryophanales; Staphylococcaceae.